GUCUAUGUCCAUACCACCCUGAAAGCACUCAAUCUCGUCUGAUCUCAGAAGCUAAGCAGGGUCAGGUCUGUUAGUACUUGGAUGGGAGAAAGAAACAACUCUUGAAAUAUAUGUAAAAAUAUGCC
Ribosomal RNA from Cavia porcellus (domestic guinea pig), 125 nucleotides. NCBI's taxonomy places the organism in Eukaryota, Metazoa, Chordata, Mammalia, Rodentia, Caviidae. The record is from Rfam.